Non-coding RNA from Paramormyrops kingsleyae, 1745 nucleotides. The record is from RefSeq and is a predicted model, not a curated record. NCBI's taxonomy places the organism in Eukaryota, Metazoa, Chordata, Actinopteri, Osteoglossiformes, Mormyridae.
GAUGUGGGGGCAGGGGGCAGCACUGAGAGAGCGUGGGUGGAAUGGGACAUAAUAGGGACAAAAACCUCAAAGGUGAUGAGUACGAUGAACGAAAAUGGAGUCAGCAUGUGCGCAGGAAUCUGGAGGGAUGCCUCCGGAGUUAGUUCAUUAUCACCCUUUCUCGCACGUGCAAACGCAAAUUGGGACUUCGGGGUUAAAAAGAAAAAAUCGCAGAGUCCCGGUUAUAGUGCUGCUUCUGGAAUUUAGCAAAAAUAAAUAAAUAAAUAAAUAAAAUAAUCCCCUUUGUUUGAAUGCUGCAUAUGAAAACGAGAACGUUAGAAUCGAUCGCCGAUUAACCAGCCUGUCCAGCAUUUUCAAGUCGUAUAAAAUAUCCUCCGCAAGAAGUCCCUUGGAAAUUCUGAGCUGACAGGUGCCCUAAUCAUAUGCGUUGGGCUGCGUCAAAGUGAACCGUACUUAUGGACUCUAGAUUCAGUCUAAUUUGCGUAAUAAGGGUUUGUAUUUUUAUAACGGAAUAGACUGUACAACCUGAAUUUUGAACUGUAACCUUCAUAAUUUUUAUUUCACUUAGUUUCAGCAUCUUUCCUUCUGCCCGCUCUCGUGUUCUCUUUCUCUCGUUCUCUCACUCUCUCUCUCUCACACACACAUACAGAGAGAGAGAGAGAGAGAGAGAGAGAGAGCGCAACAGCAUAAAAGGAAACUGCAGCCAAUUUAAUAUGCAUGGAGAAAAGAAGCGUGAAAGACGAACAAGGAGUAAAAGGUACGUGUAACUGUGAAGACAGUUGACCGUUGUGCAGAACAUCCGUCCGUCCAUCCAUCCAUUUUUCAGCUGCUGAUCCAGUACCGGGUCACAGGGAAUCACCUUGGAGCAGAUGUCAGGUCUUUAUAGGAUGCACAUGGACAGAUGAGUGUCAUCCAUCAUCACAGUGAAUCUUUCGAGACAAAAUGGCAUCUUGAUGUGAAUCAUUUGAGGAUUCAAAGUAAGGCCCUGGUAGAUGACUACAUGCUGACGACAAUAAAUGACUGCAGUCAAUGUCACACUGCCUCCACCAGAGGACAGUAGAGAUAUACGUAUCCUUUCAAUGGGCACUUGGGUCAUUGAUUCAGCGAAUGAAUGAAAUGGAAAGCAGCGUUCCUGGCAGUGACCUCUCAGGGCUUGAUAUAAAGUACUUCUGGGUCCAUGAAAUUGACAUUUCCAAAUGAAAUUGGACAGCUUGUCUUAAACCAUCAGCAAAUAGGUCAGAUAUGCUGUAGCACAAUAUGAAUGAACACAACUUGAAGUCACCUGUGAGGCAGCAUGAACCCUGACUUGGAAAACUGUAUUCUUAAAAAGAACAAUCUGGAGAAAAAACAUAGUAGUUAAAUAGUGGAGUCUAAAUGCACUGGAACUGUAUCAGUGAGUCAGGCAGCCUGUUCUGUGCUGGAUUGGAAAUGACCUUGAGAUUCCGCCGCUCUAGACAGAUUGGGCUCGAUGUUCUCUGCUGACAUCAUCUGAUUUUCAAACGCUGCACGUCCUUCAUUAGUGCCUCAGGGCACAACAUUGCACACAGAUACAUCUAAGAGGCCAUGUAAUGUUUCUGUUCAUCUCAGGGCAGUCAGAUGAUACAGUAUGUUUUCAAUCUCACUCCAUGUAAAGUAUACAGUAUGUUAGGAUUUAUUUAAUAUGUACAUCAUCAUCAUCAUCAUCAUCCUUGUAGACAGAUCCUCACUAUGAACAGUAAAUUUAUUCAUUGGCUUAUAAGGAUAUA